Molecule: long non-coding RNA, 287 nt
Organism: Neogale vison (American mink)
Lineage: Eukaryota; Metazoa; Chordata; Mammalia; Carnivora; Mustelidae
Exons: 3
Source: RefSeq, a predicted model, not a curated record
CCAGCCUAACCCUGAGGAACACAGCAUCAUGCUUGUCUUUCCCCAGGGAUUCGGAGCAUCCCGAGAGCAUUCCCAUUGGUUCAGAAGAUAGCAAAUCCAACUGCAUGGUGCAAACGCUUGACCGGCCACUGACUCUCAACUCAAACCAGAUGUCUGGGCUGCACAGAGGGAAGACGCAAGGCUCCUGAAGCGACUCUUUCCGUGCAGUUUUUGGAACUGAGGAGUCAAAGAGCAGGCAGCCCGGCGCCCUGGUCAAUAGGAGUUCGUUCAGCCAGUCGGGGCCAAGC